Molecule: non-coding RNA, 1303 nt
Organism: Oryzias latipes (Japanese medaka)
Lineage: Eukaryota; Metazoa; Chordata; Actinopteri; Beloniformes; Adrianichthyidae
Source: RefSeq, a predicted model, not a curated record
AGAAAGUAAGCCAUUUUGGGGAAGAAAAGUGUUUUUUUUUUGUGUGGUGAAUUUGUUACGUGGAGCUCUGAGCAAAGACAGCGAGAGCGAAGGGCCUGAAGCAGACAUGGAGCCAGUGAAAGCAGGCUCUUCUGGGAUCCUUCUGCUUUUUAAGGUAGACGUAACAGAGAAAAUGUAUCUUGCUGCCUCCCACCUCUACUGUAACAUCCAACAGUGAGGGUUUUUUUUGUGUGUAAACCAGAAGCUGUCAUUACUGUUUGCCACAUUAAUGUGCCACAAACUCUAUCACUGACAUUCGACGGUACGUCCACAUUCCUCCUGCUUGUUUCCCGCAAUCACUGGGCUGUGUGCAAGCACAACGGGAAGUCUGAUGAAGAACAUAAAGCUCUGUAAAAGUGAAACCUAACCAAGUCAACCCCCACCUGUCCAGACAUCCGUGCGGCCGGGGUGGUUGGCUGAGGUGGAGCAGGAUGACAGCUUCAUCCUCCAAGACUCUUGGAUUCCUUCACACCCACCCCCUACUCUUUUCCUGUCCCUCCAACACCCUCCAGAAAUCAUCAGAGCGAUGGCGGGAAACAGAGCCCAGCCACCUCCACCUGGUCAUUGCCAGACAUACACCUGCUGCCUCCUUCACCUGUGUCCUCUCCUCAUGCUCUGCAACUCGUCUCAGUCUUUUCGGUUCCUCAUUCCUGACCUUCGUUUCAUGCACUCAUAUGUGCGGAUAAAACCUGGUUCUUUGCGUUUGUCAUGCUUUGUGUCCACACCCUCCCAUAUUUAUUUAUACCGAACGCUCACAAGAGCAAAGGUGAAGUGAGUCGAGCCAGUUGCUCCCCACCUCUCUCCCAGCAAUCCUGGGAUGAUCCCUGGCUGAUCGGUAACCAUGACUACCUGACAGUGAAAGCACGUCUCCAUCCAUCUGCACUGCAGCAAUCGCUUCCACCUUGCCAAGCACUAACCUUGGCGCCCUUCCUUCCAUCAGUCCUUUCCCCUGCAAUACAAGUGCCAUUAAUUCAGAGAGGAGAAGAUAAGGUCGAGGCUGCUGGCUUCCUGAAAGCACUGGCACCACCGGAUCUGAACUCCGUCCACAAAGGCAGGAGAGGGGGAGCAACAAGAAACAGGGGCCAUGAAUAAUUCAUGGUCAACAGAAAGUCCCUGGAAAGCUUGUGUGUGAAGUGAAAACUUGAAAUGAUUCGUUUUUGUUUUGUUCUUUGCUGGAAAACAGCUCCUUAAGGUUAAAUAUAACUAAAGCAACCAAAUCACCUGAAUUUUAAGAUAAUUAAAGACACCCCCUUUACUUGUUUGA